GCGGGGCCGGGCUGGGGGCGGAGCGGAGCGCCGGGCGGGGGUGAGGGCGGAGGGGGGAGCGCGUCAUGUCCAAGCACGUGUUUCUCACGGGACCCCCAGGGGUUGGAAAGACUACUUUGAUCCAGAAAGUCACUGAAGCUCUGAAAUCCUCUGGCAUUCCCAUUGAUGGAUUUUACACACAGGAAGUUAGAGAAGGUGGAAGGAGAACAGGAUUUGAUGUUGUCACUCUGUCUGGAAACCGAGGACCUUUAUCUAGAGUCAGUUCUGAUUCUUCUGCUUCAAGACGUGAAUACCGGGUAGGACAAUAUGUUGUAGAUCUUGUUUCAUUUGAGCAGUUGGUUCUACCUAUGCUGAGAAAUGUAAACCAUGGUGGUGACACAGAGAAAAGAAUUUGUGUCAUAGAUGAGAUUGGUAAAAUGGAGCUCUUCAGCCAGGCUUUUAUUCAAGCUGUUCGUCAAACGCUGGCUGGCUCAGGAACCGUGGUGCUUGGAACUAUUCCAAUACCUAAGGGAAAGCCACUGGAUCUUGUUGAAGAAAUAAGAAGUAGGAAAGAUGUUAAAGUGUUCAAUUACAGAUACUGGGAGAUUUGUUCACUCCGGGAAAGCUGCCUGCACUAAAUGUCUCCAGAUCUUAAGAGGAGACUUAUAUCUAUCAAACAGCCUUUAUAAAACAGUUGUGAAAAUUUCCUAGCACUUGGAGCUUUCUCUCUGCUGCUCUCACUGGACUUCUGGCAUAUAGGUUAGUAAGGAAAACAGAAACAGCAUUUUGCAAGACAUCUUGGCAGCUGUAGAAUCCUGCAGAAAAUGAAGACCUCUUCUGUCCUGUAAAAACUAAAGCUUUCAUUUCAACAAAACAUUACAACAUUUCAUGGAUGGUUUAGAGCCUGUCCUUCCUGCUUUUGCCCCCUCAAAGCUUUACUGGUGCCUUCAGCGUAAGCAGGGUAAAGCUGGUAAUACUAAAAUGGGAUGGCAGGAUUGUAAUUUAUUCAGUUCACUGAAUUGGAAAAAACAUGAACAGAUGUGUAGCUAACAUCCAGUUUUAAUCUGGGUGUUUGGAAGUUAGAUGGUCAACUCUGAUCCGAGUUACCUCAUGUGAAAACAACUAACUGUAAAAUCUGCUUGAUAUCUUAGUCUUUCUGAGCAUGUUCAGAUCAAUUCAAUAUCUGCCUACAGAUGAAUUCAAUAUCUGCAACGUAGCCCUGGUGCAACAGAACAGAACCCUGUCCAAAAUGUAGAUGAGUCCUGCCUGGUUUAUGCAGGAGUGUAGCUGUUGGUGACCCAGCUUAGGUGUAUUCAGGUGUGUUUUAGCACGGGUGCUGACAAAUCAGCAGGUAGAGGGAAUAAGCAGUUGUGCUCUCUCCUCCUACCCCCAGGCAGCCCUGUCUGCAGUUGCAGUAUAAUCAGGGUUAUCCAGAGUUUCAAGGAAACUUCCUGUAGUCACAAGUGACAUUUACAGAAUUCUGGUUUUGGAGGGAAAAUAGCCAAAUCUACCCUCUCUUACUAAUUGAUAAGAGGACUGCAUUUUGUAUUAAUUUUCAGUUUUCUGGUGGUAAUUCUGUCCCACACCCCCUUACAAAUAAUAUAUAAAAAAAUCUUCAAGUCCAUGAAGUUAGUAAAAUCUUGUGUUUUUCAUGCUGA
Molecule: RNA transcript, 1637 nt
Organism: Passer domesticus (house sparrow)
Lineage: Eukaryota; Metazoa; Chordata; Aves; Passeriformes; Passeridae
Gene: NTPCR
Gene name: nucleoside-triphosphatase, cancer-related
Exons: 6
Source: RefSeq, a predicted model, not a curated record